GCUUUGCUUUAAUGGUAGUAUAUAUGUAUUUCCACUGGGGUUAAAUGUUUAGUUUGCCUUCCUCUGACUCUAUCUAUGAAAAAUUGUAAUGUCAGUGCUUGUAUACACCUCUGUAACAGUUCACUUGAAAAUAAUCAUAAACCCCUAACAAACAAAUCCUGCCCGCUUGAUACUUGUAAUGUGAAACUGGGGCUAUCUUUACUGGCUUGCUGGAAUGUGUAUAAUCUCUUCUGAUUGGUUGGGAGCCAAAUUUGAACGUGUAAACAUAGAUCCAUGCAGGACCUGAAAUGUAGUUUCAAAGCAAUGUUGGGACUUUUUAAAGUUGAAGUUUUAACAAUAUCCUGAAAUACUUUGAUGGACAUUCUUAAACAAUUAAUUAGAAUGUGGAAAUCAACAUUUUGUGUGUUAACAAGUCUCUAAAAGAGGAAAUCAGUGAUUUAUGAAGCAGCCCUUUUGGAAAUGCUUUGAACUGUUAAAAAGCGAUUUUCAAAAAAGAUUGUGUAGCAACUUACCCCUGACAACGACCUCAGAAGUGCAGUCACAGAGUAAUGGUGCUGUUAUCACUUAAAAGCAACCAUCAAAAAAGAUUGUGUAGCAACUUUCCCCUGACAACGACCACUGGCUCAGUUAAGUGCAGUCACAGAGUGAUGGUACCUCACAAGGGUCUAGUUCAGGCAAAUGAAGACCUCUAAAAGGGAUUUUCAUCUCAAUAUAAUAACUGUAAUUUCUUAAAACAUAAACUUACUUUAUUUACUGUGUUUUUAUGUCAUAUAACAGUGAUACAAUAAUGUGUGUUGUAUUUAGGGAUUUAUUUCUUAACGGGAUGUGUAAGAGUAAAUUAUUUUAUUUUAUUGACUGUCA
Molecule: long non-coding RNA, 861 nt
Organism: Dreissena polymorpha
Lineage: Eukaryota; Metazoa; Mollusca; Bivalvia; Myida; Dreissenidae
Exons: 3
Source: RefSeq, a predicted model, not a curated record